This is a long non-coding RNA of Cryptomeria japonica (Japanese cedar), 380 nucleotides long. RefSeq lists it as uncharacterized. The record is from RefSeq and is a predicted model, not a curated record. NCBI's taxonomy places the organism in Eukaryota, Viridiplantae, Streptophyta, Pinopsida, Cupressales, Cupressaceae. The transcript has 2 exons.
GAGAGACUGAGUGAAAGAUAACUAAUAUUUAAAGAGAGAGAAAUUGAAGCGAAAGUAGUAGCGAACCGUCUGCCAGGCUAUUCCAAGCAUUUACACCUCCAUCAGCAACCAACUUGGACAGACCAAAAUCUGCAACUUUAGCAUUCAGAUUCUCAUCCAGCAAUAUGUUAGUGGACUUGAUGUCUCUGUGUAUUAUGGGUGGAUGGGCAAGCUCAUGCAGAUAGUUCAAUCCCUUGGCAGAACCCAGCGCUAUUUGUAGCCUUCUUGCCCAGUCCAGUGUAAGUUCACCUGACAUUGAAAGAAAGGAUUUUAAGUCUUGAAAAAAUCCGAAAUAGAAACACAAAUCUAAAAUAUAUAUUUCUCUGGAACAGUUUCUCAUA